This 398-nucleotide ribosomal RNA is filed under the name Pseudomonas sp. R-41724. Its description in RNAcentral is "bacterial SSU rRNA". It matches the Rfam family "Bacterial small subunit ribosomal RNA", at positions 30 to 431 of the family's 1533-position model. Lineage: Bacteria; Pseudomonadati; Pseudomonadota; Gammaproteobacteria; Pseudomonadales; Pseudomonadaceae. The record is from RNAcentral.
AUUGAACGCUGGCGGCAGGCCUAACACAUGCAAGUCGAGCGGAUGACAGGAGCUUGCUCCUGAAUUCAGCGGCGGACGGGUGAGUAAUGCCUAGGAAUCUGCCUGGUAGUGGGGGACAACGUUUCGAAAGGAACGCUAAUACCGCAUACGUCCUACGGGAGAAAGCAGGGGACCUUCGGGCCUUGCGCUAUCAGAUGAGCCUAGGUCGGAUUAGCUAGUUGGUGAGGUAAUGGCUCACUAAGGCGACGAUCCGUAACUGGUCUGAGAGAUGAUCAGUCACACUGGAACUGAGACACGGUCCAGACUCCUACGGAGGCGGCGGUGGGGAAUAUUGGACGAUGGGCGAAAGCCUGAUCCAGCCAUGCCGCGUGUGUAAGAAGCUCUUCGGAUUGUAAAGC